Molecule: long non-coding RNA, 619 nt
Filed under: Mastacembelus armatus (zig-zag eel)
Lineage: Eukaryota; Metazoa; Chordata; Actinopteri; Synbranchiformes; Mastacembelidae
Description: lncRNA (ENSMAMG00000025033.1)
Source: RNAcentral
AGAUGUAGAUUUAAAGACUGCAGGUUUUUGUCUGUCUACAAUUGUAUUCCUCUCUGUCAUGAUGGGCAACUAUAGUUCAGCCCUCAUUCCUGACACUGAAGAGUUUGUUUCAAUUGUGUCAAUGGCGGAGAAGCUGAAUGAGCAGGUAGCUCGUGCUGCAGAUGAGAGUUUACAGGCAGAGCUUCAGACUCUGGUAACACUGAUGGAACAGGAAAGGAAAGAAAACCAGAGUGAAGAGCUGGAUUCUUUAGCACUUCAAGGAAACUCUGAGGAACCAAAUCAAAAUGGAUCUGCUCAGCCUGAAGUAGCACCCAAAAGUGUGCCCACGCAGUCCUUCUCCUCUCUGCUACCAAAGGCGCUCUCUGCUGUGCUCCACCCAUCGCUGCCCCCGGGCCUCGGCUCCAGCACCCACACAAACGCAAGUCAAGUGAAACACACGUCACCGAACCUGGAACAACUGCAGAUGGAGCUGAGGGACCUGAGGGACCAGUUUGAACAGAUGAAGAGUCAGCACAACAAAGAAAUUAAGCUACUGAUGAAUGAACUAGAUGAGGAGAAGAGGAUUCGCUUGACUUUACAGAUGGAGAUUCAGCGUAUGAAGAAGCACAUGGCUAAAUGA